Alosa sapidissima (American shad) is the source of this 1407-nucleotide long non-coding RNA. RefSeq lists it as uncharacterized. The record is from RefSeq and is a predicted model, not a curated record. Lineage: Eukaryota; Metazoa; Chordata; Actinopteri; Clupeiformes; Clupeidae. The transcript is spliced from 3 exons.
GCCUACCCACUACAGCUAACUACUAGCCUACAUCACAGUAUAUCUAGCUACAUACAGUAUAUCCAGUAGCCUACUAGACUACACCACUGCCGCCGAGUGACUUGACUAAAAGGACUGACUGUAAAACUAAAACUAAUUAAAAGAAACGGUAGGCUAGUGCUAUAUCUUAUUUGUAACAACAACGCGAGACGAUGAUGCAAAACAUAACGUUACAAUGUUGCAAAACAUAACACGUUGUGAACAGCAGCAAACAAAGACUAACGAGCAAUGUGCUAGCUGGUAAAUUACAAACUUGGCACAAUCGGAAUAUAACAAAGCCCUACAAGUGAAAGGACUUAAGGUUAAACCUCAAACCCUUGCAUUACAACCACUAGGCCUACAUCAUGAAACUGUAACAUAUUUCACUUACUUUCGUGAGCUCGAAUUCAAGACGAGUGUAAUCCAUUCCAAGACUUCUUCUUUCAAGCGGUGUUCAAACAGAGCCCGUUUACGGAAGUCAGAACAAUCGACUUCAAUCGAUGACCUGAAAGCAGAGGCGCUGGGUGCAUCCGAAUACCCAUACUAGCGCACUGUACAGUAGGCGAGACGCAGUACGCCACAGUAGUAGUACGUCCGAAUUCUUAGUAGGCAUCGACUAGCAGGCGAAAAGUACCCGGAUGGCCUACUACCUCCACAGUAUACAACGGAUGGUCACUACGCUAUCCCACAAUUCAGCGGGAGCCCGAUAACCGUAGAAGAAGACGAGCCGCCGGGAAAAUCAAAUCGGACAAAAUGGCUGAUACGAUGGAGGUCACGGCAGCUACUUCUGCCGAUGUUUAUAAAUGUUUAAGUAGGAACUACAACAUGUAUUACAGCAUCCCAAUAUGCUGACAUCAAGAGAGCAGAUGCAAGAACGGCCCCAAAGAUCUGUCUUCCCUGGAUGACAGCCUGACCUGCAGCUUAAUCCUGUGAAAACAUCUGACAUCAUAAAUUGCAUCACCCCAACAUGUGUAGAGGAAACCAAACGACCAGAAGAGACACUCAAUAACACAUAAACACACACACACACACACACACACACACACACCAAUGCCUGAGUACUAGGGGUGUAAUGAUACACAAAACUGGCUUGUACCUCAAUUUUGAAGUUUUGUCAUUAGGUUCAUUUUUGCCACUGCUAACCUAAAGUUCAUUAACAAUAUAUGUUCUCAAUGAAAGUUCGUCAAUUGUUUUUUGAUGUUAGUUGAGUAAACUGACAUAAUGGUCACCACUUGUAUGUCCAUGGCAUAACAUUCUACUGUUGAUUACUGUUAAAGGCUGCAUUUGCAUCUGUAUUGAACAUCCUGUACCUAAAUGGUAAGGUAUGAAUAGGUUUACCUUUACACUCCUACUGUGCGUGCCUAUUUUAUGUUUUAUAUAAUAAACAUU